AUCUAGUUUCUUGUAAUCUAAU
Molecule: small nuclear RNA, 22 nt
Filed under: Arabidopsis thaliana (thale cress)
Lineage: Eukaryota; Viridiplantae; Streptophyta; Magnoliopsida; Brassicales; Brassicaceae
Description: snRNA_11871
Source: RNAcentral